RNAcentral lists this unclassified non-coding RNA (212 nucleotides) under Hevea brasiliensis (rubber tree). Lineage: Eukaryota; Viridiplantae; Streptophyta; Magnoliopsida; Malpighiales; Euphorbiaceae. The record is from RNAcentral.
AGGUGUGGGACACAGUGGAGAACAGCGACAUCGGCUGCACGCCGGGCAGUGGGAGGAACCACGUGGGGGUCUUCGCCGAUGCCGGCCUCAGCCUGACUUCAAACGUGAACAUCAACACGGAGCAGAGAAGUGAGGUCCAGUGUGCAAAGCCUGCAAAACGCAAGCGCCGCUCCGUGAGGCUCAUCAAGCACAAGGGCACCAAGAUGGCCGAG